RNAcentral lists this ribosomal RNA (447 nucleotides) under uncultured bacterium. Its description in RNAcentral is "bacterial SSU rRNA". It matches the Rfam family "Bacterial small subunit ribosomal RNA", at positions 355 to 825 of the family's 1533-position model. The record is from RNAcentral.
UCGGGAAUUUUGGGCAAUGGGCGAAAGCCUGACCCAGCAACGCCGCGUGAAGGAUGAAGUAUUUCGGUAUGUAAACUUCGUAAGAAUAGGAAGAAUAAAUGACGGUACUAUUUGUAAGGUCCGGCUAACUACGUGCCAGCAGCCGCGGUAAUACGUAGGGACCAAGCGUUGUUCGGAUUUACUGGGCGUAAAGGGCGCGUAGGCGGCGUGGUAAGUCAUCUGUGAAAUCUCCGAGCUUAACUCGGAACGGUCAGAUGAUACUGCUGUGCUAGAGUACAGAAGGGGCAAUCGGAAUUCUUGGUGUAGCGGUGAAAUGCGUAGAUAUCAAGAGGAACACCUGAGGUGAAGACGGGUUGCUGGGCUGAUACUGACGCUGAGGCGCGAAAGCUAGGGUAGCAAACGGGAUUAGAUACCCCAGUAGUCCCUGAGCGGGCUGGCAAGGCGCAU